This 527-nucleotide long non-coding RNA is filed under the name Citrus x clementina. RNAcentral's name for it is "Citrus clementina (C. clementina) long non-coding RNA (CCLE_LNC003799)". The record is from RNAcentral. Lineage: Eukaryota; Viridiplantae; Streptophyta; Magnoliopsida; Sapindales; Rutaceae.
GAAGUUGGCCAGUCCCACCCCCCAAGGCUAUAGCCCACCCGUUUUUGUGGCCUUUUUCCGCUGGACGAACUUGGCGCCCCGGCCUUCGGGUCGUUAUUUUUGGGCGCGGCUGUGUCCGCGGCCUAUUUUUGGCACACGGAGUCGCCUCGCAAAGCCUCGCGCCAUUCCGAGUCCCGCGGACGAAGUUGGCCAGCCCCACCCCCCAAGGCUAUAGCCCACCCGUUUUUGUGGCCUUUUUCCGCUGGACGAACUUGGCGCCCCGGCCUUCGGGCGGUUAUUUUUGGGCGCGGCUGUGCCCGCGGCCUAUUUUUGGCACACGGAGGCCCCUCGCAAAGUCUCGCGCCAUUCCGAGUCCGGCGGACGAAGUUGGCCAGCCCCACCCCCCAAGGCUAUAGCCCACCCGUUUUUGUGGCCUUUUUCCGCUGGACGAACUUGGCGCCCCGGCCUUCGGGCGGUUAUUUUUGGGCGCGGCUGUGCCCGCGGCCUAUUUUUGGCACACGGAGGCCCCUCGCAAAGUCUCGCGCCAU